UACGGAGGGGGCUAGCGUUGUUCGGAAUUACUGGGCGUAAAGCGCGCGUAGGCGGCUUUGUAAGUUAGAGGUGAAAGCCCGGAGCUCAACUCCGGAAUUGCCUUUAAGACUGCAUCGCUAGAAUCAUGGAGAGGUGAGUGGAAUUCCGAGUGUAGAGGUGAAAAUUCGUAGAUAUUCGGAAGAACACCAGUGGCGAAGGCGACUCACUGGACAUGUAUUGACGCUGAGGUGCGAAAAGCGUGGGGAGCAAACAGG
Molecule: ribosomal RNA, 255 nt
Filed under: uncultured bacterium
Lineage: Bacteria
Description: partial 16S ribosomal RNA
Rfam family: Bacterial small subunit ribosomal RNA
Source: RNAcentral